RNAcentral lists this small RNA (112 nucleotides) under Marmota monax (woodchuck). Lineage: Eukaryota; Metazoa; Chordata; Mammalia; Rodentia; Sciuridae. The record is from RNAcentral.
GCCAGCUGUGGCGGCGCACGCUUGUAAUCCCAGUGCCUCGGGAGGCUGAGGCAGGAGAAUUGCAAGUUUAAUGUAGUGAGGCACAAAGCAACUUAGCAAGACCCUGUCUCAA